RNAcentral lists this ribosomal RNA (1122 nucleotides) under uncultured organism. RNAcentral's name for it is "bacterial SSU rRNA". It matches the Rfam family "Bacterial small subunit ribosomal RNA", at positions 46 to 1200 of the family's 1533-position model. The record is from RNAcentral.
GCUUAACGCAUGCAAGUCGAGCGAUGAGGCUCCCUUCGGGGGGUACAUCAGCGGCAGACGGGUGAGUAACACGUAGGUAACCUGCCCUCAAGACGGGGAUAACGCCUGGAAACGGGCGCUAAUACCGGAUGACCUUGGUCGGGGAAGCUCCGGCUAAGGAAAGGCAAUAGCGCUUGAGGAGGGGCCUGCGGCCCAUCAGUUAGUUGGUAGGGUAACGGCCUACCAAGGCGAAGACGGGUAGGGGGUGUGAGAGCACGGCCCCCCACACUGGGACUGAGACACGGCCCAGACUCCUACGGGAGGCAGCAGCGGGGAAUAUUGCGCAAUGGACGGAAGUCAGACGCAGCGACGCCGCGUGGGUGAAGAAGGCCUUCGGGUUGUAAAGCCCUUUUCUGAGGGAAGAGAAAGGACGGUACCUUAGGAAUAAGCGUCGGCUAACUACGUGCCAGCAGCCGCGGUAAGACGUAGGACGCGAGCGUUAUCCGGAUUUACUGGGCGUAAAGCGUGUGUAGGCGGCGUGACAAGUUGGGCGUGAAAGCCCCGUGCUCAACGCGGGGAGGCCGCACAAUACUGUCAGGCUAGAGGGCAUCAGAGGGGUGUGGAAUUCCCGGAGUAGCGGUAAAAUGCGCAGAUAUCGGGAGGAACACCGGUGGCGAAAGCGGCACCCUGGGGUGCACCUGACGCUGAGAGACGACAGCUAGGGGAGCGAACAGGAUUAGAGACCCUGGUAGUCCUAGCCGUAAACGAUGGAUGCUAGGUGUGGGAGUGAAGAACUUCUGUGCCGCAGCGAACGCGAUAAGCAUCCCGCCUGGGGAGUACGGCCGCAAGGUUAAAACUCAAACGAAUUGACGGGGACCCGCACAAGCAGCGGAGCGUGUGGUUUAAUUCGAUGCUACACGAAGAACCUUACCUGGGAUUGACAUAUGGGUGGUAGUGAGCCGAAAGGCAAGCGACCCUUCGGGGAGCCUAUACAGGUGCUGCAUGGCUGUCGUCAGCUCGUGCCGUGAGGUGUCGGGUUAAGUCCCGUAACGAGCGCAACCCCUGUCCUUAGUUACAAGUGUCUAAGGGGACUGCCGGCGGGAAGCCGGAGGAAGGUGGGGAUGACGUCAAGUCAGCAUGGCC